GACGAACGCUGGCGGCGUGCUUAACACAUGCAAGUCGAACGGAAAGGCCCUGCUUUUGUGGGGUGCUCGAGUGGCGAACGGGUGAGUAACACGUGAGUAACCUGCCCCUGACUUUGGGAUAACUUCAGGAAACUGGGGCUAAUACCGGAUAGGAGCUCCUGCUGCAUGGUGGGGGUUGGUAAGUUUCGGCGGUUGGGGAUGGACUCGCGGCCUAUCAGCUUGUUGGUGGGGUAGUGGAUUACCAAGGCUUUGACGGGUAGCCGGGCUGAGAGGCUGACCGGCCACAUUGGGACUGGGAUAAGACCCAGACUAGUACGGGAGGCAGCGGAGGAGAAUAGUGCAUUAUGGGCGGGAGCCUGGUGCGACAACGCCGCGUGCGGGAUGACAGGAUUCGGGUUGUAAACCACUUUCGCCUGUGACGAAGCGUGAGUGACGGUAAUGGGUAAAGAAGCACCGGCUAACUACGUG
This 468-nucleotide ribosomal RNA is filed under the name uncultured bacterium. RNAcentral describes it as "partial 16S ribosomal RNA". It matches the Rfam family "Bacterial small subunit ribosomal RNA", at positions 28 to 507 of the family's 1533-position model. The record is from RNAcentral.